Molecule: ribosomal RNA, 497 nt
Filed under: uncultured bacterium
Lineage: Bacteria
Description: bacterial SSU rRNA
Rfam family: Bacterial small subunit ribosomal RNA
Source: RNAcentral
GAUGAACGCUAGCGGAAGGCUUAAUACAUGCAAGUCGAGCGGUAGGUGGCUUCGGCCAUUGAGAGCGGCGCACGGGUGAGUAACGCGUACAUGACCUGCCUGUCAGAAGGGGAUAGCCCUGGGAAACUGGGAUUAAUACCCUAUGGUAUUGAUAUUAUGAAUGAUAUCAAUUAAAGUUGAGGCGCUGACAGAUGGAUGUGCGUCUGAUUAGCUAGUUGGUAGGGUAACGGCCUACCAAGGCGACGAUCAGUAGGGGGCGUGAGAGCGUGGUCCCCCACACGGGUACUGAGACACGGACCCGACUCCUACGGGAGGCAGCAGUAAGGAAUAUUGGUCAAUGCCCGCAAGGGUGAACCAGCCAUUCCGCGUGGAGGAUGAAGGCCUUCGGGUUGUAAACUGCUUUUGUACGGAACGAAAGGGCUCUCUCUAAUACAGGGGCAUAUGACGGUACCGUAAGAAUAAGCACCGGCUAACUACGUGCCAGCAGCCGCGGUAAU